This 253-nucleotide ribosomal RNA is filed under the name uncultured bacterium. RNAcentral describes it as "partial 16S ribosomal RNA". It matches the Rfam family "Bacterial small subunit ribosomal RNA", at positions 524 to 776 of the family's 1533-position model. The record is from RNAcentral.
UACAGAGGUCUCAAGCGUUGUUCGGAUUCAUUGGGCGUAAAGGGUGCGUAGGCGGCGCGGUAAGUCGGGUGUGAAAUCCCUCGGCUUAACCGGGGAACUGCGUCUGAUACUGGAUGGCUAGAGGUUGGGAGAGGGAUGCGGAAUUCCAGGUGUAGCGGUGAAAUGCGUAGAUAUCUGGAGGAACACCGGUGGCGAAGGCGGCAUCCUGGACCGAUACUGACGCUGAGGAGCGAAAGCCAGGGGAGCAAACGGG